GCCUGGUUAGCUCAGUCGGUAGAGCGUGUGGCUUUUAACCACAAGGUCCUGGGUUCGAGCCCCAUACCAGGCG
This is a transfer RNA of Folsomia candida, 73 nucleotides long. It matches the Rfam family "tRNA". Rfam says of the family: Transfer RNA (tRNA) molecules are approximately 80 nucleotides in length. Their secondary structure includes four short double-helical elements and three loops (D, anti-codon, and T loops). Lineage: Eukaryota; Metazoa; Arthropoda; Collembola; Entomobryomorpha; Isotomidae. The record is from Rfam.